UACGGGAGGCAGCAGUGGGGAAUAUUGCACAAUGGGCGCAAGCCUGAUGCAGCCAUGCCGCGUGUAUGAAGAAGGGCCUUCGGGUUGUAAAGUACUUUCAGUCGUGAGGAAGGUGUUAAGGUUAAUAACCUUAGCAAUUGACGUUAGCGACAGAAGAAGCACCGGCUAACUCCGUGCCAGCAGCCGCGGUAAUACGGAGGGUGCGAGCGUUAAUCGGAAUUACUGGGCUAAAGGGCACGCAGGCGGUUAAUUAAGUUGGAUGUGAAUCCCCGGGCUUAACCUGGGAAUGGCAUUCAAGACUGGUUAGCUAGAGUCUUGUAGAGGGGGUAGAAUUCCAUGUGUAGCGGUGAAAUGCGUAGAGAUGUGGAGGAAUACCGGUGGCGAAGGCGGCCCCUGGGACAAAGACUGACGCUCAUGUGCGAAAGCGUGGGGAGCAAACAGGGAUUAGAUACC
Molecule: ribosomal RNA, 453 nt
Filed under: uncultured bacterium
Lineage: Bacteria
Description: bacterial SSU rRNA
Rfam family: Bacterial small subunit ribosomal RNA
Source: RNAcentral